Molecule: long non-coding RNA, 681 nt
Filed under: Chloebia gouldiae (Gouldian finch)
Lineage: Eukaryota; Metazoa; Chordata; Aves; Passeriformes; Passeridae
Description: Erythrura gouldiae (Gouldian finch) lncRNA (ENSEGOG00005005286.1)
Source: RNAcentral
GUAAAGGGUUACAGAUUCUAGGAAGUAUUAAAUGCAAACUUUAAAGGAUUUUAUUUUCAUCUAAAGUCACAUGAUGCCUUAAUACCCAAUGACACUAACUACGGUGUCUCAUUAAGAGGUCAUGCAAACUCCCAAGCUAAACAAGGCAUUCUUACAUAUUUAACAUUCAAAUGCAGAAGCCAAGCUAAGCCAUGGAAGAUUGUAAUCAGGAAAAGCUACACUUCCUGAUCCACACAAAUGCUACAGAGGAGGUGCCCCACCAGUCUGGUCUCUGCACACACAGAAAGCAGAAGGAGAAAAAGGUUCUUUAAACAGGAGGCAGACUGAUAGCAUUUGGGGCUGAAAGCUGGAGCUUAUUUUGGAAUGUGAAAGCUACUUGCUGUUUGGAUCCAUGACAACCACACAGACACUCUUCCCUUUAACAGUCUACACCAGCAUGGUAAGCAAUAUUCCAAAGACUGAGUCUCACUGGUAAGUGUGUUGUGCAAUAAGCUGGAGUGACUAGGUGUGUAAGGCUUCAUGCUACACACUUCUGGCUCAAAGAGAGUAAUAUAAAAACUAUUACACAACAUAAGCAAGAAGGAUAUGGCAACAUACCUUGAUUUAUGAACACUGUUUUACACACCAGACAAGUAUUAAGUUUCCCAGAAUAUCUCAGAAAGGAUGUUGCUAAGCAAAGAU